UACAGAGGGUGCGAGCGUUAAUCGGAAUUACUGGGCGUAAAGCGCGCGUAGGCGGCUUUGCAAGUCGGGUGUGAAAUCCCCAGGCUUAACCUGGGAACUGCAUUCGAGACUGCAUUGCUAGAGUAUGGGAGAGGGAAGUGGAAUUUCCGGUGUAGCGGUGAAAUGCGUAGAUAUCGGAAGGAACAUCAGUGGCGAAGGCGACUCUUUGGCCUGUAACUGACGCUGAGGCGCGAAAGCGUGGGGAGCAAACAGG
RNAcentral lists this ribosomal RNA (253 nucleotides) under uncultured bacterium. Its description in RNAcentral is "partial 16S ribosomal RNA". It matches the Rfam family "Bacterial small subunit ribosomal RNA", at positions 524 to 776 of the family's 1533-position model. The record is from RNAcentral.